UACGUAGGGGGCGAGCGUUGUCCGGAUUUAUUGGGCAUAAAGAGCGUGUAGGCGGCCAGGUAGGUCUGCUGUGAAAACUCGAGGCUCAACCUCGAGACGUCGGCGGAAACCAUCUGGCUAGAGUCCGGAAGAGGAGAGUGGAAUUCCUGGUGUAGCGGUGAAAUGCGCAGAUAUCAGGAAGAACACCCGUGGCGAAGGCGGCUCUCUGGGACGGUACUGACGCUGAGACGCGAAAGCGUGGGGAGCGAACAGG
RNAcentral lists this ribosomal RNA (253 nucleotides) under uncultured bacterium. RNAcentral's name for it is "partial 16S ribosomal RNA". It matches the Rfam family "Bacterial small subunit ribosomal RNA", at positions 524 to 776 of the family's 1533-position model. The record is from RNAcentral.